UCAUUCUUUAAUUUCCUUUUCCUCUCUUUGUACUCCCUGCCUCUUUCGCAACCCAACACAAAAUACCUUUUCCUUCGGUAAGAACCGUUAUCUGAUUUAGCAAUCACAAUAGUAAAUCCAACUUUUUUUGCCUCAUUGCGACACCAUUUAAUCAACUCAUCUCGCUCCUUGCAAUACGGUGCUUCAUAAAAAUAUUUUCUCGUGUCAACUUUAUGCUCAUUAUCACUGGGUUCCACAACAUCAUCGCCGGGUUCCACAACAUUAGGUUGAGCAAUGACAAGUUCCACAACAUUAGGUUGAACAAUGACAUGUUCGACAACAUUAACAGAGUCNNN
Molecule: long non-coding RNA, 335 nt
Filed under: Trifolium pratense (red clover)
Lineage: Eukaryota; Viridiplantae; Streptophyta; Magnoliopsida; Fabales; Fabaceae
Description: long non-coding RNA (TPRA_LNC006638)
Source: RNAcentral